UGAAGUAAAAGUCGUAACAAGGUCUCCGUUGGUGAACCAGCGGAGGGAUCAUUACAGGACUCGCAAGACCCCUUCACCCUGUGAACCUCACUACAAGCACGUUGCUUCGGCGGGUGUCCCGGCGGGGGUUUUCCCUCGCCGGGGCGCACAGCCCGCCGGCAGCCUACUAUACUCUGUCUCUUUGCGUUGGCAUCUCGAGAAAAAACAAACAAGUUAAAACUUUCAACAACGGAUCUCCUGGUUCUG
RNAcentral lists this unclassified non-coding RNA (246 nucleotides) under plant metagenome. RNAcentral's name for it is "partial contains small subunit ribosomal RNA, internal transcribed spacer 1, and 5.8S ribosomal RNA". The stretch from base 1 to 54 matches the Rfam family "Eukaryotic small subunit ribosomal RNA", at positions 1778 to 1831 of the family's 1831-position model. The record is from RNAcentral.